GACGAACGCUGGCGGCGUGCUUAACACAUGCAAGUCGAACGGAAAGGCCCUGCUUUUGUGGGGUGCUCGAGUGGCGAACGGGUGAGUAACACGUGAGUAACCUGCCCUUGACUUUGGGAUAACUUCAGGAAACUGGGGCUAAUACCGGAUAGGAGCUCCUGCUGCAUGGUGGGGGUUGGAAAGUUUCGGCGGUUGGGGAUGGACUCGCGGCUUAUCAGCUUGUUGGUGGGGUAGUGGCUUACCAAGGCUUUGACGGGUAGCCGGCCUGAGAGGGUGACCGGCCACAUUGGGACUGAGAUACGGCCCAGACUCCUACGGGAGGCAGCAGUGGGGAAUAUUGCACAAUGGGCGGAAGCCUGAUGCAGCAACGCCGCGUGCGGGAUGACUGCCUUCGGGUUGUAAACCGCUUUCGCCUGUGACGAAGCGUGAGUGACGGUAAUGGGUAAAGAAGCACCGGCUAACUACGUG
RNAcentral lists this ribosomal RNA (468 nucleotides) under uncultured bacterium. Its description in RNAcentral is "partial 16S ribosomal RNA". It matches the Rfam family "Bacterial small subunit ribosomal RNA", at positions 28 to 507 of the family's 1533-position model. The record is from RNAcentral.